Molecule: unclassified non-coding RNA, 4703 nt
Filed under: Hevea brasiliensis (rubber tree)
Lineage: Eukaryota; Viridiplantae; Streptophyta; Magnoliopsida; Malpighiales; Euphorbiaceae
Source: RNAcentral
AAAAAAGGUUGCAGUUGCAUGUAGCAAUCUAUCUCAAUCGUGCACGGCCUUAUGGAAGUAGAUGCUAACUUUAAUCCGUUAAAGGUAUAACUUUUCUUGACUGCCAUGUCUUUGCAACCAAGCUCGAAAAUCAGCCAGUCAAUGUGAACCACUGCCCAAACCAGAACCUCUGCCAGAAAAUUCAUUUAAAACAAUCCCAGAAAAUUCAUUUAAAGCUCUCUGCGCACUGUGAAAGCGACACGGUAUAAGCAGCAAUCAGCAGAGACCUGGCGGUGGCGGUUGGGCCAUUUCCACUUUCUUUUUUUUUCUGUUGGGUCAUUAAUGCCUGCCUCUUGCUAUUAAGAGUUUCAGAUAAGAUAACUGUUAGGCUGUUAGCUCGUCGCCAAAUAAGGAAAUUAAAAUCCUAGAAGAUUUUGUUUUCCAUUAUAAUGUACAAAGAGACAGAGUAUACAGUCAAAUAGUUCAUAAUUAUUUAUAUUAAUUAUUCUUGUUGGUUAGCUCUAGUUUUGGGUUAGGGGUAAACAGAAAACACCAGAAGCAACAACAUAGAAAGAAGAAUCAAAGCUCGUGAUUGGAGUGGCUGGAGAUACAGAUCAACACCAACACCGGUAGCUUCAGGAAGGAGAAGAAGAAGAUGGGCCACCAUAGACCAUGAUAAACAUCACCUCCAUAUUAUCACACUUCAUUAAGCCAUGGUAGACGCUGGACGAGUUCUGCUCCUUGUUCUAAUUCUGUUAUUGAUUCACUGUUCACUGGCCCAGCAUAGCUUCUUGAACUCCACCAGCGAACGUAUAGCUUUGCUUGAUCUCCGGUCAUCUUUAGGGCUCAGAAGCUCCGACUGGCCUAUAAAAUCCGACCCUUGUAAUAACUGGAAUGGAAUCCAGUGCAAGAAUGGCCGGGUCACCGGAAUAAAUAUAUCUGGUUUCAAACGGACCCACAUUGGGGGUUCAAAUCCCAGUUUCAGCGUCGAUUCCCUCGUUAAUUUGACGUUUCUGGAGUAUUUCAAUGCUUCUGGGUUCUCACUUCCCGGUUCGAUACCGUCCUGGUUCGGUUACGGGCUUGGUUCGCUGCAAGUACUCGAUCUCCGGUCUACUUCAAUGAGCGGUCCCCUUCCUGAUUCUCUCGGUAAUUUGACAAGACUCGAUGCUUUACAUCUAUCUGAUAAUAACCUUGCUGGUAGUAUACCCUCUGCAUUGGGCCAGUUAAUGCAAUUAUCAGUUCUUGACCUUUCGAGGAAUUUCCUCACUGGACAAAUACCUACUACUUUUGCAUUGCUUAGUAAUUUGUCAAGGCUUGACCUUUCUUCCAAUUACUUAACUGGGUCAAUUCCACCGGGUUUGGGUAACAUUGAUAGUCUGAAAUCCUUGAAUUUAUAUGACAAUAAUCUUGCAGCUUCAAUUCCUGUGGAACUGGGUAACCUUUCACAUUUGGUUGAACUUAAUCUUGCCAAAAACUCAUUGUCUGGGUCAUUGCCUGUAGAGUUAGCAGGAAUGAGGAAUUUGGUAAGCAUGGAAAUUGGGGAUAAUGGACUAGAGGGUGGGUUGCCUGAUGGUUUAUUUUCCAGUCUUAAAAAAUUGCAAGUUGUGGUGUUAAGUGGGAACAAAUUUGAUGGUGCUCUACCUGAGGCAUUGUUGUCAUUGCCGAGCUUGCGGGUUCUUGAUGUGUCUUACAACAACUUUACAGGUGUUAUAUCUACUUUCAGUUCAAAUGGUACUGCCAGUGAUGUCUUGUUCAAUCUUUCAAAUAAUCUUUUAUAUGGAACUCUGGCCUCUCCUUUUGGAAAUUUUAGUUUGAUCGAUCUUUCUGCAAAUUAUAUCCAAGGAGAAGUUCCUGAUGGUAGUCAAAGCAAUGUUAGCAUUGCCAGGAAUUGUCUUCAGGCUGUGUCGAAUCAGAGGAGUUUGCGAGAUUGUAAAUUAUUUUAUGCUGAGAGAGGAUUAAGUUUUGAUAAUUUUGGAACCCCUGAACCAACACAGCCCCCAUUGCCUGAAGCUGCUCUUAAAAAGAGAAGAAAACGAUGGAUUUACAUUUUGGUGGGAUUGUUUGGUGGACUUGGCUUCAUUGUGAUUUUGGUACUAGUUAUGAUAGUUGUGCUGCGGAGGUGUCAUGAUACCAUUGCAAACCAGAAAGGCAGUGCUAAUGUGGGGCCUGUUCCAGAAGGAGAUAGCCCGUCACUUCCCAAGGAUCCUGUUAUUUUAUCUGGUUUUAGAGAUUCAUUUACUUAUGAACAAUUACUUUGUUCAACCAGUGAAUUUGAUGAUGCAAAUCUUAUCAAGUCUGGCCACUCUGGAGAUCUCUUUCGGGGUUUUCUAGAUGGAGGAAGCCCCGUAGUUGUAAAAAAGGUGAACUCCCAUUCUGUGAAGAAGGAAUCAUACAUGAUGGAAUUAGAACUAUUCAGCAAGUAUUCACAUACAAGAUUGGUCCCAUUCCUGGGGCAUUGUUCAGAGAAUGACAACGACAAGCUUCUGGUCUAUAAAUAUAUGCCAAAUGGAGACUUGGCUAGUUCCUUGUAUAGGGUAAGCGAUUUUGAGGAUGACAGUGUACAGUCCCUAGAUUGGAUUACAAGAUUAAAGAUUGCAAUAGGAGCUGCUGAAGGUCUUUCAUAUCUGCAUCAUGAAUGUAACCCUCCCCUUGUUCAUAGGUAUAACAAGAACUUGCAUUUUGUGAGAUUCACUUUCCUUCCAUUUUGAUUGUUGAAAUUUUCAAAUGCAAUUAUAUUUUGAUGUUUAAAGAGAUAUUCAAGCAAGCAGUAUCCUUCUGGAUGAUAAGUUUGAGGUGCGACUUGGAAGCCUGAGUGAGGUCUGUAUCCAGGAAGGGGAUUCACACAACAAUGUGCUCACAAGGUUCUUGCGGAAACCACAGUAAGCAUUGUGCAAGUCAUUAAUUUCUUUCAGCAUUUUUAAGUUUCAUUAAGAAAUAUUGAUAACCUAAACAUUGAAUCUUUUAGAUGCAUAACCUAUGUGCAUCAUUUUCUUUCACUGGGCUUUGUUUAAGGCCAAACUUUCUAUUAUCUGUUGUAAUAAUAGACAUAAGAAAACAUAUGUUGGGUUGAACAGCAGUAAAAAGGCUUGAACACAGCGUUAACUGGAUGUGAUGUCAUGAAAAGUUCACUAGUUGUGUCACUAGGUCCAGUUGGUCUGUUACUUUGUCACAGGCAGCAGCAGACAUGCACAGAGAUGUAAAUAUUAUAGAUAUUUUAUUGUGUUUUGGCAUUUGGCCUGAUGAAAUCGAACUUAGGAUAAUAUUUGAUCUGUAGGAAAACAAAAAAAGAAAAUUGAUGCUGUGACUACUGCCUCCUUUCCUAUCCUGCUUCAUUUUUUUUCCCUUUCAUUUUUGUUAUGCUUCAUCUAAGAGAUAAUUUCUGUUUCUGGUGUGCAGAUCCUCUGAACUAGGCCCUUCUGGUAUGUAUAAUCUUUAUUUAUUUUUUUUAAAUUCCUUUUAUCUUUUUCCGAACAUACUAAUUUUGAGACAUUGUUGGGUCAUUAUCAAAGGACUUUGCUGCCUGCUUUUUCUUAUAACUGAUGAUAAUGAUCCUGAGUUGAAACUCUAUUGUUGCAAAAUUGAAAGUUCAAUUCACUCAUAUGCUGGUGCUCCAGCAACCUAGUUUGACUGAAGAAUAAGAGUUUUGGAAAGAAAACAUGCAUCAGAAGUACCAUGUUGGCUGAAGCAUGCCUUUUCUGAUAUGAAUUUGUUCGGUCGCAACAAGUGUCAAUAAUUCAAAAGAAAAUUAAGCAAAAUGUUGAAAUAUUUUCUUUGUAAUGGACAGGUUCAUCAUCAGCGACUUGUGCUCAUGAUGUGUACUGUUUCGGAAAGGUCUUGCUCGAGCUCAUAACAGGGAAACUAGGCAUCAGUAAAUCGGAUGAUGCCACUACAAAGGAGUGGCUAGAACACACGCUGGGAUAUAUCAGUGUAUAUAACAAGGAACUGGUGACAAGGAUUAUUGACCCGUCUCUGGUCAUAGAUGAAGAUUUGUUGGAAGAAGUAUGGGCCAUGGCAAUUGUGGCCAGAUCAUGCCUUAAUCCCAAGGCUUCAAAACGUCCCCCAAUGAAAUAUAUACUCAAAGCAUUGGAAAACCCUUUGAAAGUUGCGAGGGAGGAGAAUUACAGUUCAGGGAGGCUGAGAACAACUUCAUCUAGGGGAUCCUGGAGUGCCGCCUUUUCUGGCGGUUGGCGACACAGUUCAUCAGAAAAUGCUAUUGUUCCAGGCCACGCUAACCGCGAAGGUGUAAGCGGCUUGAAGCAGCCAGGAAGAAUAGGAUCUCAUAGCAGUGGUGGAAUUGAACACACAUAUUCUAAUAAAAGGUUAUCCAAUGAAAUUUUCCCUGAGCCACAUGAAAUGCAAGAUGUAGAGCAGCUAGAUGAGCAUUAGUUAGCAUGGUGUUUUCAGAUGUUCAUUGAGUAUACUGUGGCCCUUGCAGUUGUGUGUUAAGAAUCAUAUUUGAUAGCUUCUCAUCGGGGAUUAAAGCAAUUGAUUGACAAGCUGAUUGGCCUGCCCGUGAAAGAUUUUUCUUUUUCUGACUGGCUAUUCUAUUGAGGCGUGACUGAGAAUUGAAAUAACACUGUUUCUGUUUGCUUGUACACAGACUCAUUCCUUGAAAUUUCAUAGAAAUGGACAUUUUUUUCAUGUCGUUGAUGUAAUUAUAUUGUAGACCUGUAUUUUUGCCUACAAAGAACUUUUUCAGCAAUUCAAUCACGCAUUCCUUAAAA